Molecule: ribosomal RNA, 165 nt
Filed under: Pinanga watanaiana
Lineage: Eukaryota; Viridiplantae; Streptophyta; Magnoliopsida; Arecales; Arecaceae
Description: 5.8S rRNA
Rfam family: 5.8S ribosomal RNA
About the family: 5.8S ribosomal RNA (5.8S rRNA) is a component of the large subunit of the eukaryotic ribosome.
Source: RNAcentral
AUGAUGACUCUCGGUAAUGGAUAUCUCAGCCCUCGCAUCGAUGAAGAACAUAGCGAAAUGCGAUACCUGGUGUGAAUUGCAGAAUCCCAUGAACCAUCGAGUCUUUUGAAUGCAAGUUGCACCCGAGGCCAUUCGGCCGAGGGCACGCCUGCCUGGGUGUCAUGC